UAGUAACGGCGAGUGAAGCGGGAAGAGCUCAAGCUUAAAAUCUCUGCGCAAGUUUUGCGCGGCGAAUUGUAGUCUAUAGACGCGUAAUCAGUGCGGCUACUCGGGAUAAGUUCCUUGGAAGAGGACAGCAUCGAGGGUGAUACUCCCGUUUGUGCCUGAGUAUGUUGCACGUACGAUUUGUGUUCUUUGAGUCGCGUUGUUUGGGAAUGCAGCGCAAAGUAGGUGGUAAAUUCCAUCUAAAGCUAAAUAUUGGUGCGAGACCGAUAGCGAACAAGUACCGUGAGGGAAAGAUGAAAAGAACUUUGAAAAGAGAGUUAAAGAGUACCUGAAACUGCUGAAAGGGAACCGGGUCGUUGCCAGUGUCUAUAAUCGUCGGCAUAUUUCAUUGCUGUGCGGGUCUGUGUCGCGCGUUGGUAGUAGUUUGUUCUGCGCUGCGUGUGUCGUGUGGAUUUGCUCGGCGGUGCCCUGUGUCGGUGUGGGACGUCAGAGUCAGUUCGUGUGCUGCGGGAAAUGGUUGUCGAGGAGGUAGGUCAGGAGCUUGCUUUUGGCUGUUAUAUCUCGGCGUGCUAGUUGUCGUGGUUGGGACUGAGGUGCCUACAACGUGCUUUUGAGUGUUUGUGCGUCUCUGUGUGCGUCCGGAUUGGAUAGCUUGCUAUGCAGUUUGUCACGUGUGCGGAUGGAUGUGCGUUCUUACUUGUUGCCGUUC
Molecule: ribosomal RNA, 706 nt
Filed under: Phytopythium mercuriale
Lineage: Eukaryota; Oomycota; Peronosporomycetes; Pythiales; Pythiaceae
Description: eukaryotic LSU rRNA
Rfam family: Eukaryotic large subunit ribosomal RNA
Source: RNAcentral